Long non-coding RNA from Carcharodon carcharias (great white shark), 383 nucleotides. RefSeq lists it as uncharacterized. The record is from RefSeq and is a predicted model, not a curated record. Lineage: Eukaryota; Metazoa; Chordata; Chondrichthyes; Lamniformes; Lamnidae. The transcript has 2 exons.
UCACUGACGGCAACUUACCAUCAGUACAACUGCAAAGUCAACUUCAUUAAACCAAAACCUGGGUUCCUGUCACUUAGAAAUGGAAAUACUGGAUGGAUGGAAGUUGAAGAUGUAUAAAGGAAAGAUGCAGAAUAGAUGAUCCAGAGAAUUCAUCAGCCAUUCUCACAGUCUAACAGCGGUGGCCCUGUCUCACUCUAAUUGCCUGUUUCCCGAGAGUUUGCUGUCAGUAUGUUGGAAUGGCUGAGUACGACUCUACGUGUUUGUUAUGUAUCAGUUUCAUCAAAGCCCAGCUUGUAGAUUUGGACAGAGGGUCUGUUGCAAAGUUCUCCAAAUAAAUGUCUGCAGCUCUGUUGCUGACACUGGCUCCUUAACCAAUUGUAAAA